RNAcentral lists this ribosomal RNA (493 nucleotides) under uncultured bacterium. Its description in RNAcentral is "partial 16S ribosomal RNA". It matches the Rfam family "Bacterial small subunit ribosomal RNA", at positions 28 to 506 of the family's 1533-position model. The record is from RNAcentral.
GACGAACGCUGGCGGCGUGCUUAACACAUGCAAGUCGAACGGUGAAGCGCCUUCCUUUUUGGUGGGUGUGGAUGAGUGGCGAACGGGUGAGUAACACGUGAGUAACCUGCCCCCUUCUUCUGGAUAACCGCAUGAAAGUGUGGCUAAUACGGGAUAUUCUGGGUCUGUCGCAUGAUGGGUCUGGGAAAGAUAUUGUUUCGGUGGGGGAUGGGCUCGCGGCCUAUCAGCUUGUUGGUGGGGUGAUGGCCUACCAAGGCGGUGACGGGUAGCCGGCCUGAGAGGGUGGACGGUCACACUGGGACUGAGACACGGCCCAGACUCCUACGGGAGGCAGCAGUGAGGAAUAUUGCACAAUGGGCGCAAGCCUGAUGCAGCGACGCCGCGUGAGGGAUGGAGGCCUUCGGGUGGGGAACCUCUUUCGCCAGUGAAGCAGGCCUGCCUCGUUUGUGGGUGGGUUGACGGUAGCUGGAUAAGAAGCGCCGGCAAACUACGU